RNAcentral lists this ribosomal RNA (465 nucleotides) under Colletotrichum acutatum. RNAcentral's name for it is "SSU rRNA". It matches the Rfam family "Bacterial small subunit ribosomal RNA", at positions 450 to 894 of the family's 1533-position model. The record is from RNAcentral. Lineage: Eukaryota; Fungi; Ascomycota; Sordariomycetes; Glomerellales; Glomerellaceae.
GUUUUAAGUACGUAUUAAUAAUGAUAAUAUGUAUACUAGUCUUGACCAAUUACGUGCCAGCAGUCGCGGUAAUACGUAAGAGACGAGCAUUAUUCAUAUUAAAUAGGUUUAAAGGGUACCCAGACGGUCAAAAUACCUUAACUAAAAGGAGUACUUGACUAGAGUUUUAUGUGAGAAGACCGUACUUGAGGUGGAGAGAUUAUAUUCUGUGAUACCAAGGGGACUGAUAAAGGCGAAAGCUGUCUUUUAUGUAAUAACUGACGUUGGAGGACGAAGGCAUAGAACACGAACAGGAUUUGACACCCUAGUAGUCUUUGCAGACAAUGAUGAAUGCCAUGGACUAGUCGCUAAAAUAACUACUCUAUCCUAGAUUGUUACACAAUCUAGGAUGCGAGUGUAGUUUAAGCAGAAUUAGUCUAUAAAUGAAAAUGAAAGCAUUUCACCUCAAGAGUAAUGUGGCAACGC